Molecule: ribosomal RNA, 449 nt
Filed under: uncultured bacterium
Lineage: Bacteria
Description: partial 16S ribosomal RNA
Rfam family: Bacterial small subunit ribosomal RNA
Source: RNAcentral
AAUGAACGCUGGCGGCAGGCCUAACACAUGCAAGUCGAACGGAUCCUUCGGGAUUAGUGGCGGACGGGUGAGUAACGCGUGGGAACAUACCCUUUGGUACGGAAUAGCCUCGGGAAACUGGGAGUAAUACCGUAUGUGGUCGAGAGACGAAAGAUUCAUCGCCAAAGGAUUGGCCCGCGUUGGAUUAGGUAGUUGGUGGGGUAAUGGCCUACCAAGCCGACGAUCCAUAGCUGGUUUGAGAGGAUGAUCAGCCACACUGGGACUGAGACACGGCCCAGACUCCUACGGGAGGCAGCAGUGGGGAAUCUUAGAUAAUGGGGGAAACCCUGAUCUAGCCAUGCCGCGUGAUCGAUGAAGGCCUUAGGGUUGUAAAGAUCUUUCAGGUGGGAAGAUAAUGACUGUACCACCAGAAGAAGCCCCGGCUAACUCCGUGCCAGCCGCCGCGGUAA